UACGUAGGUCGCAAGCGUUGUCCGGAUUUACUGGGCGUAAAGAGCGCGCAGGCGGCUGGUCAAGUCCGAUGUGAAAUCUCCCGGCUCAACUGGGAAACUGCAUCGGAAACUGAUCGGCUUGAAGGUGGGAGAGGGUAGUGGAAUUCCCGGUGUAGUGGUGAAAUGCGUAGAUAUCGGGAGGAACACCAGUGGCGAAGGCGACUACCUGGCCCAUUCUUGACGCUGAGGCGCGAAAGCUAGGGGAGCGAACCGG
RNAcentral lists this ribosomal RNA (253 nucleotides) under uncultured bacterium. RNAcentral describes it as "partial 16S ribosomal RNA". It matches the Rfam family "Bacterial small subunit ribosomal RNA", at positions 524 to 776 of the family's 1533-position model. The record is from RNAcentral.